Molecule: transfer RNA, 29 nt
Filed under: Decaneuropsis cumingiana
Lineage: Eukaryota; Viridiplantae; Streptophyta; Magnoliopsida; Asterales; Asteraceae
Description: partial tRNA-Phe
Source: RNAcentral
AGCUCAGUUGGUAGAGCAAAGACUGAAAU